CUAUCCUGAGUCAUGCAGGCUGCUAACGUGUUCUAGCUCAGAGUCCAUGUGACUGAGACAUGUCUGUUCUGGCCUAAGACCCUGCCAAUCUACAGCAGAGAUUUGCGCUAGGCAGGCUGGAGACCGCAUGUUCCCACAUGUUUUGGUGUAGGAAACAGAGGAAAUAAAAUGCAGUCUUGCCAGGCUGGUGGUUUGUCUCCCCACAGGCAUUGCAAUCUGUGGCCAUGGAUGGACUAGGAGGUUGGGCAAGCUUCAUCUUGAGCGUUUUGGGGAGAAGCUUCUGAGCACAGCGUAGUGUUUCUUCCUCCCCUACAAGAUGGUAAACUCCUUGAGAGACAACUCACACAUUUGGUUCAUCAUCAUCCGCAAACCAGGCUGAAAGAAAGGUAUCAAAUUAAGGUGAUGGAUUUGAUUAUAACAGGAAAGGUGAGUGGGGGUUACUUGGAGGAGAGGGAAGAGAGUGGCCAUGGCCCGGAGCAGGAGUGAGCCACCCUGUCUUCCACAGAGGAACAGACAGAAGGGCCAGCACUGUGGCUUAGUGGGUAAAGCUGCCUCCUGCAGUGCCGUCAUCCCAUAUGGGAGCUGGUUCGAAUCCCGGCUGCUCCACUUCCAAUCAAGCUCUGUUAUGGCCUGGGAAAGCAGUAGAAGAUGGCCCAAAGGUUGAGCCCCUGCACCUGCAUGGGAGACCUGGAAGAAGUUCCUGGCUCCUGACUUUGCAUCAGCUCAGCUCCGGCCAUUGCGGCCACUUGGGAAGUGAACCAGCAUAUGGAAGACACCUCUCUCUCUCUAUCUGUGGCUCUGUCUCUCAAAUAAAUAAAUAAAGUCUUAAAAAAAAAUCCUACCAUUCAGGAUUUCUUCAUACAUUGUGUCCUUACUGUCAGCUCUCAGUCUGUACUGAAAUGUAAGUGUGUGUGUG
Non-coding RNA from Oryctolagus cuniculus (rabbit), 916 nucleotides. The record is from RefSeq and is a predicted model, not a curated record. Lineage: Eukaryota; Metazoa; Chordata; Mammalia; Lagomorpha; Leporidae.